Polypterus senegalus (gray bichir) is the source of this 190-nucleotide small nuclear RNA. RefSeq annotates it as U2 spliceosomal RNA. NCBI's taxonomy places the organism in Eukaryota, Metazoa, Chordata, Cladistia, Polypteriformes, Polypteridae. The record is from RefSeq and is a predicted model, not a curated record. The transcript has a single exon.
GUGGCACGCUUCGCCUUUUGGCUAAGAUCAAGUGUAGUAUCUGUUCUUAUCAGUUUAAUAUCUGAUACGUUCCCAUUCAAAAUUCAUAUAUUAAAUGAUUUUGGAAACAGGAGAUGGAAUAGGGGCUUGCUCCGUCCACCCAAUUUUGCUCACCUAAAGUUGUAGUACUUCCAGAGCGUGAAUUUCUUUU